This 888-nucleotide ribosomal RNA is filed under the name uncultured bacterium. RNAcentral's name for it is "bacterial SSU rRNA". It matches the Rfam family "Bacterial small subunit ribosomal RNA", at positions 8 to 915 of the family's 1533-position model. The record is from RNAcentral.
AGAGUUUGAUCAUGGCUCAGAACGAACGCUGGCGGCAUGCUUCAUACAUGCAAGUCGAACGUGAAAGACCUUCGGGUCAAGUAAAGUGGCGCACGGGUGAGUAACGCGUAGAUAAUCUGCCCCGCUGUCUGGGAUAACCUUCCGAAAGGGAGGCUAAUACCGGAUAACACGAUUUCUUUUGAGGGAGUCGUUGAAAGUUGCGGCGCAACGGGAUGAGUCUGCGUCCCAUUAGCUAGUUGGUGGGGUAAAGGCCUACCAAGGCGACGAUGGGUAGCGGGUUUGAGAGGACGAUCCGCCACACUGGAACUGAGACACGGUCCAGACUCCUACGGGAGGCAGCAGUAGGGAAUCUUGCGCAAUGGGCGAAAGCCUGACGCAGCAAUGCCGCGUGAGUGAAGAAGGCCCUCGGGUCGUAAAGCUCUUUAUCUUCGGGAAGAUGAUGACGGUACCGAAGGAAGAAGCACCGGCUAACUACGUGCCAGCAGCCGCGGUAAUACGUAGGGUGCAAGCGUUGUUCGGAAUCACUGGGCGUAAAGGGCGUGUAGGCGGAACGAUUAGCGAGGGGUGAAAUCCCGGGGCUCAACCCCGGAACUGCUCUUCGAACUGUCGAUCUAGAGAAGGUCAGGGGCCGGCGGAAUUCCUGGUGUAGAGGUGAAAUUCGUAGAGAUCAGGAGGAACAUCGGAGGCGAAGGCGGCCGGCUGGGGCCAUUCUGACGCUGAGGCGCGAAAGCGUGGGGAGCAAACAGGAUUAGAUACCCUGGUAGUCCACGCCGUAAACGAUGGGUACUAGGUGUCCGGGAUGUUCGACCAUUCUGGGUACCGCAGCUAACGCAGUAAGUACCCCGCCUGGGAAGUACGGUCGCAAGACUAAAACUCAAGGAAUUGACG